RNAcentral lists this ribosomal RNA (580 nucleotides) under uncultured Dechloromonas sp. RNAcentral describes it as "bacterial SSU rRNA". It matches the Rfam family "Bacterial small subunit ribosomal RNA", at positions 73 to 649 of the family's 1533-position model. Lineage: Bacteria; Pseudomonadati; Pseudomonadota; Betaproteobacteria; Rhodocyclales; Azonexaceae. The record is from RNAcentral.
ACGGACUUCGGUCUGGUGGCGAGUGGCGAACGGGUGAGUAAUGUAUCGGAACGUACCUUUCAGUGGGGGAUAACGUAGCGAAAGUUACGCUAAUACCGCAUAUUCUGUGAGCAGGAAAGCAGGGGAUCGAAAGACCUUGCGCUGAUUGAGCGGCCGAUAUCAGAUUAGCUAGUUGGUGGGGUAAAGGCCUACCAAGGCGACGAUCUGUAGCGGGUCUGAGAGGAUGAUCCGCCACACUGGAACUGAGACACGGUCCAGACUCCUACGGGAGGCAGCAGUGGGGAAUUUUGGACAAUGGGGGCAACCCUGAUCCAGCCAUGCCGCGUGAGUGAAGAAGGCCUUCGGGUUGUAAAGCUCUUUCGGCCGGGAAGAAAUCGCAUAGGCUAAUACCCUGUGUGGAUGACGGUACCGGAAUAAGAAGCACCGGCUAACUACGUGCCAGCAGCCGCGGUAAUACGUAGGGUGCGAGCGUUAAUCGGAAUUACUGGGCGUAAAGCGUGCGCAGGCGGUUUCGUAAGACAGAGGUGAAAUCCCCGGGCUCAACCUGGGAACUGCCUUUGUGACUGCGAGGCUAGAGUAC